UUGUUUAGUCUGAAUUCGUUGCUGUUGAUAUGUUUACCAAUCCAGCCUUUCCUUUAACUCAACACAUGAUUUUAUCAGUGUACUGAACACCACCUUCAUUUAUUUACUUAUAGUUUUCUAAAGGGAAAAUGUCUGUGUUUCUUUAUUAACCUUUCAUUAUUUUAUUCCAGAGAGUAUUGAGGGUCCCUUCUCUAAGUACAUACCACUAGAGGAAAUCCUUAUGGAUAUAUACUAGUUCUUCAAAGACUCGCAAAGCAAAUUCAUCUAGUAGUGAUGUGCAGGGAGGAAAGAGAGGUUAUCUUGUAUUGUGACAUGGUAUCACCUCUCACCAUGGUGAGCUUCAUAAAACUGGGAGACUCCAUGCUUUGAUUCAGAGGCCUUUGGGAAAACAUUCGCUUCACCAACUGGAUUUUAGUGCCUUCCAUCUUAAAACAGCACCCAUAACAAAAUGUGCCAUAAUUUCAUUAUCUCGCCUUUCAUGCAGAAAUAUUUGGAGAACUGAGAUUGGAGAAUAGAGGCUUUCUUCACAUUCAGAAAUUAAAGAGCAGUGAAGAUCAUUUUUCAAAGAAACAACCUCAAUGCUGUGCUUGACCUUGGUUCUCCAGCUGCUGUCAUACAACUCUACUUCAUGCGUAAAAGUAUUGUCUUCCUUUUCCUUGGUAGACAUUUUACUAUAAUGUUUCUUUAAGUUGGCGAAUCCUCAUCUUAUGAUUGCAUGCUUUAAAAGAUAAGAAGUUAAAGCAUUUUCUCUCAGCUAUCUGA
This 762-nucleotide long non-coding RNA is filed under the name Coturnix japonica (Japanese quail). RNAcentral describes it as "lncRNA (ENSCJPG00005008757.1)". The record is from RNAcentral. Lineage: Eukaryota; Metazoa; Chordata; Aves; Galliformes; Phasianidae.